AGGCUCCCGGGCGCUCACGCCCCGCUCUACCUGCCUCCUGCAGUUCGGGGGCCCGAAGGCACCGAGCAGAACCGCGUGCGCAACAAACUAAAGCGGCUCAUCGCGAAGAGACCGCCCUUACAAAGCCUGCAGGAGCGGGGUCUGCUCCGAGGUGAGGGGGCUGGGCCAGGUUCAUGGAUAAGAAAACUCCAGCGAGGCUCAGAGUAGAGCUUCCCAGAACUAGACCACAACCUUCUGUGACUGCUGCUUUCCCACUACCCCAGAUUGUUUAGGGGAGAAGCUGGGGUGACCUGUACCCCUUUGCCAGAUUGUUUGAAGCAGGGGAAGGGAGGUGGAGUGUAUUUCCUUGCCCAGGCCUGGCACAGGCAGCCAGGAGGACCAGCCUCACUUAAGGAUAAAGGCCUAUGCUGAGAAGAGCUCCUGUGAGUGACGCUGGCACUGGCUUCCCGCCUCACUCUACUUCCCCAGACCAGGUGUUCGGCUGCCAAUUGGAAUCACUCUGCCAGCGGGAAGGAGACACGGUGCCCAGCUUUGUGCGGCUCUGCAUUGCUGCUGUGGAUAAAAGAGGUCAUUUUCUCAGAGACCCCAGAAUCCUCUUCCAACAGGCUAAGGCCUAGAAUUUUCUGCCUCCCCCGUUCUACCUAGUCUUCCUACUGCCCUUUUUCUCUCCACCCUUAUAUCCCUCACCACACACACUUUCAAGUAGCAGUCCUUAUCUACUCCUUCCUCAUCUCCCAGGUCUAGAUGUGGAUGGCAUUUAUCGGGUGAGCGGGAACUUGGCAGUGGUCCAGAAGCUUCGCUUUCUGGUGGACAGAGAGCGUGCGGUCACCUCCGAUGGGAGGUAUGUGUUCCCAGAACAGCCAGGACAAGGUACUUACAUGGAAGACCCUUCAGAUCCCUAAAACUUCCACAUAUCCUCUUUGCUUCCUGUGGAAACCCCCAUGUACUAUUCCUGGGAGGGUUGUCCUCAUCCCCACCUUAGCUACCUUGCCCCACUGCAGACCCUCUAGGCAUUCCUAUAGUCUGCUUUGACUGGAUUUCUCCAGAACUUCUAAUCUCUCAGUCUCUAAAUCUUUCUGGCCCUUCAUGAGCCCCUAUACCUCCUUCUCCCUCCAGAAGGUCGGUUAGAUUUGGACAGUACUGAGUGGGAUGACAUUCAUGUGGUCACCGGAGCCCUGAAGCUUUUUCUCCGGGAGCUGCCCCAGCCUCUGGUGCCACCACUGCUGCUGCCCCAUUUCCGUGCUGCCCUUGGGUGAUAGCACACUCAGAUAAGAAUCGCAUGACACCCCACAACCUGGGAAUUGUGUUUGGACCAACCCUGUUUCGGCCAGAGCAGGAGACAUCUGACCCAGCAGCCCAUGCUCUCUACCCAGGGCAGCUGGUCCAGCUGAUGCUCACCAACUUCACCAGCCUCUUCCCCUGAUGCAGGGAAGGAAGAAGAGAAAACAUAUUUCCGGUCAUCUCUGGUGGUGAGAGGCUGGUGUUCUGUUUUGAGGAUAUCCCUUUAAAUCUCCCAAAUGACUGUCUCUAUCUUCAUGAGUGUGACUUGAGGUGUUGGGAUGGGUGAGGGAGCUUCUCUAAAGAGGAAAGUGAGUGGAUUAACCCCUGCUUCUCUUCUUGUUCCCUGUUAUCAUUCCUCCCCAACAUAAUAAUAAAG
RNAcentral lists this long non-coding RNA (1657 nucleotides) under Pan troglodytes (chimpanzee). RNAcentral describes it as "long non-coding RNA NONPTRT003422". Lineage: Eukaryota; Metazoa; Chordata; Mammalia; Primates; Hominidae. The record is from RNAcentral.